GGGUUGUGAGGUUAAGCGAAUAAGCGUACACGGUGGAUGCCUAGGCAAUCAGAGGCGAUGAAGGACGUGCUAAUCUGCGAAAAGCGUCGGUAAGGUGAUAUGAACCGUUAUACCCGACGAUAUCCGAAUGGGGAAACCCAGUAUCCAAUGGAUACUAUCAUUAACUGAAUCCAUAGGUUAAUGAGGCGAACCGGGAGAACUGAAACAUCUCAGUACCCCGAGGAAAAGAAAUCAACCGAGAUUCCCCUAGUAGCGGCGAGCGAACGGGGAGCAGCCCAGAGUCUUAAUCAAUAGCAGUGUCAGGAGAACGGUCUGGAAAGUCCGGCAGUAAAGGGUGAUAGCCCCGUAUCUGAAGAUGCUGUUAUUGUGAACUCGACGAGUAGGGCGGGACACGUGUUAUCCUGUCUGAAUAUGGGGGGACCAUCCUCCAAGGCUAAAUACUCCUGAUUGACCGAUAGUGAACCAGUACCGUGAGGGAAAGGCGAAAAGAACCCCGGCGAGGGGAGUGAAAAAGAACCUGAAACCGUGUACGUACAAGCAGUAGGAGCCCCAUCACUCAAGUGCCUCGCACUGAGUGAUGCAAUAACAUCACCGAAAAUAGCGCCGAAUUUGCUAACAAGGUUGGUCGAUUUUUUCAAGCCGUCGCGCAGUGUACCUAGAAGUACACGAGCAACGGAAGUUAAAAAAUCGGGCAAGAUUGAACGCAAAGGCAAGCGGGACAUUUGAGGAUGGGGUGACUGCGUACCUUUUGUAUAAUGGGUCAGCGACUUAUAUUCUGUAGCAAGGUUAACCGUAUAGGGGAGCCGUAGGGAAACCGAGUCUUAACUGGGCGAAUGAGUUGCAGGGUAUAGACCCGAAACCCGGUGAUCUAUCCAUGGGCAGGUUGAAGGUUGGGUAACACUAACUGGAGGACCGAACCGACUAAUGUUGAAAAAUUAGCGGAUGACUUGUGGAUGGGGGUGAAAGGCCAAUCAAACCGGGAGAUAGCUGGUUCUCCCCGAAAGCUAUUUAGGUAGCGCCUCGUGAACUCAUCUUCGGGGGUAGAGCACUGUUUCGACUAGGGGGUCAUCCCGACUUACCAACUCGAUGCAAACUGCGAAUACCGAAGAAUGUUAUCACGGGAGACACACGGCGGGUGCUAACGUCCGUCGUGAAGAGGGAAACAACCCAGACCGCCAGCUAAGGUCCCAAAGUCAUGGUUAAGUGGGAAACGAAGUGGGAAGGCUCAGACAGCCAGGAUGUUGGCUUAGAAGCAGCCAUCAUUUAAAGAAAGCGUAAUAGCUCACUGGUCGAGUCGGCCCGCGCGGAAGAUGUAACGGGGCUAAACCAUGCACCGAAGCUGCGGCAGCGAACGUAUCACUUAAAUUUGUUUGAGUGAAUAACGAUUGACGGAACGAAGUGACGUCAAUGCGUUAAUGAAAGUCGAGGCGAAAGCACGACAAAGCGAAUUUAAGGAUACGUUCGUUGGGUAGGGGAGCGUUCUGUAAGCCUGCGAAGGUGUACUGUGAGGUAUGCUGGAGGUAUCAGAAGUGCGAAUGCUGACAUAAGUAACGAUAAUGCGGGUGAAAAACCCGCACGCCGGAAGACCAA
RNAcentral lists this ribosomal RNA (1590 nucleotides) under Proteus mirabilis. RNAcentral's name for it is "partial 23S ribosomal RNA". It matches the Rfam family "Bacterial large subunit ribosomal RNA", at positions 1 to 1348 of the family's 2925-position model. The record is from RNAcentral. Lineage: Bacteria; Pseudomonadati; Pseudomonadota; Gammaproteobacteria; Enterobacterales; Morganellaceae.